This 596-nucleotide ribosomal RNA is filed under the name uncultured bacterium. Its description in RNAcentral is "bacterial SSU rRNA". It matches the Rfam family "Bacterial small subunit ribosomal RNA", at positions 338 to 943 of the family's 1533-position model. The record is from RNAcentral.
CCUACGGGAGGCAGCAGUGGGGAAUAUUGCACAAUGGGCGAAAGCCUGAUGCAGCGACGCCGCGUGAGGGAUGACGGCCUUCGGGUUGUAAACCUCUUUCAGCAGGGAAGAAGCGAAAGUGACGGUACCUGCAGAAGAAGCGCCGGCUAACUACGUGCCAGCAGCCGCGGUAAUACGUAGGGCGCAAGCGUUGUCCGGAAUUAUUGGGCGUAAAGAGCUCGUAGGCGGCUUGUCACGUCGGGUGUGAAAGCCCGGGGCUUAACCCCGGGACUGCAUUCGAUACGGGCUAGCUAGAGUGUGGUAGGGGGGAUCGGAAUUCCUGGUGUAGCGGUGAAAUGCGCAGAUAUCAGGAGGAACACCGGUGGCGAAGGCGGAUCUCUGGGCCAUUACUGACGCUGAGGAGCGAAAGCGUGGGGAGCGAACAGGAUUAGAUACCCUGGUAGUCCACGCCGUAAACGGUGGGAACUAGGUGUUGGCGACAUUCCACGUCGUCGGUGCCGCAGCUAACGCAUUAAGUUCCCCGCCUGGGGAGUACGGCCGCAAGGCUAAAACUCAAAGAUAUGCGNGNGAGACGCGACGACGACGACGACGAGGAG